CUACAAAAGUAAAAAUGAGAAAUGAAAAGCGGGGAAACAAAAUAAAGAAUGUAGUGAUAAUGGGGUAUCCCAGUCCCGUAGAUAAUAAUAAGGUACCCCCCGACACCCGAAUCAUACAUGAGUCACCCCUGGGAGCAGGUGGAGGACUUCGGUCAAUCAGCCCCGCUCUCCAUAAUCGGCUCUGCUCUAGCACAUCACUACCCCUCUGUGCACCUCAAAGCCUAUCCACAAACUUCUUCACCUCUCUCCCCACCUCCUGAACUGGGCAUGAUCCUUUAGCCCAUGUC
This 287-nucleotide long non-coding RNA is filed under the name Citrus maxima (pomelo). Its description in RNAcentral is "long non-coding RNA (CMAX_LNC000330)". Lineage: Eukaryota; Viridiplantae; Streptophyta; Magnoliopsida; Sapindales; Rutaceae. The record is from RNAcentral.